Molecule: transfer RNA, 67 nt
Filed under: Potamophylax cingulatus
Lineage: Eukaryota; Metazoa; Arthropoda; Insecta; Trichoptera; Limnephilidae
Description: tRNA-Ser
Source: RNAcentral
AAUUAAUAAGCUUUUAAAAGCAUUUGUUUUGAAAACUUAAGAAAGAAGAAAUUUCUUCUAUUAAUUU